GUGACCGCUAGCUGGGUCGGCUCCUUGAGCUAGGGUCCCUUUGAAUGAAAACUCUGCCUAGGUUCUGAAUGUGAUCGACAACACUGACUCUAGUCAGUGGGGAUUCAGACAGUCCAGGAUCCCUGUGUCCCCCAUGGAGGAGUUCCUCAUUUAUGAUCACAGGGUAAAGAUGUAUGUCAUGUUAUCACCAUCGGUCUCCUGUCGCACUCCUGCAAGAACGUAAGGACCACAUACAUGACUCUGAGGGAAGUCUGUAGUCAUGGAACCCGUGGUCACUGUAGCUGGGACAUGGGAAUGGGAGAGAUCCAGGAAGCCUUGUUCCCCCAUUUCUGAGUCACUGUGACACCUGAUUGUAAUUAAGACACCUGAGUCCCCACGUCCUCCCCACGUCCUCUCAUCAGUAGUCUCUAUAACUCUCUCAGCUGGACUCACCACACAGACCAGCAACCUGUCCCACUCCACAUCUCUUCCCCAGUCUCUCCCUCUUCACCUCAUCCUCAGAUGACCCUCCCCCCUUGACCCUCCAGUCUGCCUUCUGUCCGCCAACCCCCAGAGUUCCAGGGAGGCAGUUGGAGAUGCUAAGGAAAGAAGGGCUAAGGGGCACACUGUCUGCCGGCUGAUCCAGGUCCUUCCUCGCCAGGGCCAGGUGUGUGAAGACAAGAAUGAGGAUGAAACCUUCGGUGUGAGAAGAACGGGGGAUUUCAUAGGAAAGCCAGUGAGUUGUUCAAAUGGACCUCCAAGAGCCUUGUACAGCCUUCACAACCUUGUACUAGAACCAGCGAAGAGAACCAUCAAAGAGCAAAUUUGUCAGAAUAAAGACAUAAAACCUCGUUACCUAUCGCUGCCAGGGUGCCCAAGAGGACACCCACCGCUGACAGCUUCGUGGGCAUUCCCUUCAUGCGACCCACCUUGCGCAUGCAUUGACCCUCCACAUUGCAGCGACACACGAUCACUGGGGUGGAGAAAGAAGAUGCGAGUAUUAGGGAAGGCUCCUAGCUGCUUGGAACCUCCCGUCUGGAAAACUGGCUGAUACGUGUUUUUGUGCACCCCUGUGUAGGUGUGCAUGUGUGAAGGUGAUUGCUCCUCUGUGUGUGUGGCAGGAUACACACAAGUACAUUGGCCCAGAGAAGAAAUGUGCAUUGGAGUUUGCUGUCUACGUGAGAGUGCAUUGUGUAUGCCCAGGCUCUUUCCCCCGUAUCCCAAUGGCUUCCACAGAAAUUAAAGAUGCCAACUUUGACUGCA
Non-coding RNA from Rattus norvegicus (Norway rat), 1242 nucleotides. The record is from RefSeq and is a predicted model, not a curated record. Lineage: Eukaryota; Metazoa; Chordata; Mammalia; Rodentia; Muridae.